CUUAGUUGGCGGGACGGGUGAGGUAACGCGUGGGGAACCUGCCCUGUACAGGGGGAUAACACUUAGAAAUAGGUGCUAAUACCGCAUAAGCGCACAGUAUCGCAUGAUACAGUGUGAAAAACUCCGGUGGUACAGGAUGGACCCGCGUCUGAUUAGCUGGUUGGCGGGGUAACGGCCCACCAAGGCGACGAUCAGUAGCCGGCCUGAGAGGGUGGACGGCCACAUUGGGACUGAGACACGGCCCAAACUCCUACGGAAGGCAGCAG
RNAcentral lists this ribosomal RNA (266 nucleotides) under uncultured bacterium. Its description in RNAcentral is "partial 16S ribosomal RNA". It matches the Rfam family "Bacterial small subunit ribosomal RNA", at positions 89 to 354 of the family's 1533-position model. The record is from RNAcentral.